Molecule: long non-coding RNA, 275 nt
Filed under: Brassica napus (rape)
Lineage: Eukaryota; Viridiplantae; Streptophyta; Magnoliopsida; Brassicales; Brassicaceae
Description: long non-coding RNA (BNAP_LNC011217)
Source: RNAcentral
CCAUGAAAUUUUAUCUUAUUUUUAUGCGUGCAAUUUUACAGUUAUUCUGUUUCAUCAAUCAAAUAAUCACGCUUUAAAAAACAAAAUUAACCUCUAAUUACAUCGUUUAUUUGGUUCUAAAUAGUGUCAUUCUCUAAUUAUUUAUUCAUUCGCACAAUCAAACCACUCCAUAGUGUUACCAAUUAAACACAAAAAUGGGCGAAAAAAUUGAAAUGUAAAUUCAUGAUCCAUAUGUACAUAAAAACGAGACAUUUCUACAUUUUCGCUCAUUUUUU